UUGACACUCUGCAGAACUAAAUUCUCCCACUUUACUCUAGAGCAGCUACCACCUGGGCAACAGCAAUACUACAUUCCAUAUCCUGCCCUGGCAUGGAACUCCUGAGCUGCUGUGGAGGGGAUUCAGUCUCCAUGGCCCAUUUAGUUCUUGGCCUCU
Molecule: small RNA, 156 nt
Filed under: Gopherus agassizii (Agassiz's desert tortoise)
Lineage: Eukaryota; Metazoa; Chordata; Testudines; Testudinidae
Description: TUC338 (ENSGAGG00000016775.1)
Source: RNAcentral